CAUUCACGGAGAGUUUGAUCCUGGCUCAGGACGAACGCUGGCGGCGUGCUUAACACAUGCAAGUCGAACGAUGAACCGCUUUCGGGCGGGGAUUAGUGGCGAACGGGUGAGUAACACGUGGGCAAUCUGCCCUGCACUCUGGGACAAGCCCUGGAAACGGGGUCUAAUACCGGAUAUGACUGUCCAUCGCAUGGUGGAUGGUGUAAAGCUCCGGCGGUGCAGGAUGAGCCCGCGGCCUAUCAGCUUGUUGGUGAGGUAGUGGCUCACCAAGGCGACGACGGGUAGCCGGCCUGAGAGGGCGACCGGCCACACUGGGACUGAGACACGGCCCAGACUCCUACGGGAGGCAGCAGUGGGGAAUAUUGCACAAUGGGCGAAAGCCUGAUGCAGCGACGCCGCGUGAGGGAUGACGGCCUUCGGGUUGUAAACCUCUUUCAGCAGGGAAGAAGCGAAAGUGACGGUACCUGCAGAAGAAGCGCCGGCUAACUACGUGCCAGCAGCCGCGGUAAUACGUAGGGCGCAAGCGUUGUCCGGAAUUAUUGGGCGUAAAGAGCUCGUAGGCGGCUUGUCACGUCGGUUGUGAAAGCCCGGGGCUUAACCCCGGGUCUGCAGUCGAUACGGGCAGGCUAGAGUUCGGUAGGGGAGAUCGGAAUUCCUGGUGUAGCGGUGAAAUGCGCAGAUAUCAGGAGGAACACCGGUGGCGAAGGCGGAUCUCUGGGCCGAUACUGACGCUGAGGAGCGAAAGCGUGGGGAGCGAACAGGAUUAGAUACCCUGGUAGUCCACGCCGUAAACGGUGGGCACUAGGUGUGGGCAACAUUCCACGUUGUCCGUGCCGCAGCUAACGCAUUAAGUGCCCCGCCUGG
This 864-nucleotide ribosomal RNA is filed under the name Streptomyces sp. SID8370. Its description in RNAcentral is "bacterial SSU rRNA". It matches the Rfam family "Bacterial small subunit ribosomal RNA", at positions 1 to 876 of the family's 1533-position model. Lineage: Bacteria; Bacillati; Actinomycetota; Actinomycetes; Kitasatosporales; Streptomycetaceae. The record is from RNAcentral.